This 254-nucleotide ribosomal RNA is filed under the name uncultured bacterium. Its description in RNAcentral is "partial 16S ribosomal RNA". It matches the Rfam family "Bacterial small subunit ribosomal RNA", at positions 524 to 776 of the family's 1533-position model. The record is from RNAcentral.
UACGGAGGGUGCAAGCGUUAUCCGGAUUUACUGGGUUUAAAGGGUGCGCAGGCGGAUAUGUAAGUCAGUGGUGAAAUCUCUGGGCUUAACCCGGAAAUUGCCAUUGAUACUAUAUAUCUUGAAAUGCUGUGGAGGUAAGCGGAAUAUGUCAUGUAGCGGUGAAAUGCUUAGAGAUGACAUAGAACACCUAUUGCGAAGGCAGCUUACUACGCAGAGAUUGACGCUCAUGCACGAAAGCGUGGGGAUCAAACAGG